GUGAAUCAUCAAAUUUUUGAACGCAAAUUGCACUCUCUUCGGAUAGUAUGCCUGUUUGAGUGUCAGAAUUAAUAAAAAUCUGCGCGUUGCUCUUUUGGGACUUUCCGGAGGGUGGGUCAUCUGAUAACAACACCCUUGCAGGGUAUUGUUAAGAUGCUUAGAAUUUACCUUUUUUGUUCAUUUUAGACGUACAUAAAUUUUUUUUUAUUCGUCUGUCUUAAUGCCAAAUCUCUAUUGGAUUCGACCAUACCGUAUGGUUCCUUGUCUAUA
RNAcentral lists this unclassified non-coding RNA (270 nucleotides) under Glomeraceae sp. RNAcentral's name for it is "partial contains 5.8S ribosomal RNA and internal transcribed spacer 2". The stretch from base 1 to 65 matches the Rfam family "5.8S ribosomal RNA", at positions 84 to 154 of the family's 154-position model. The record is from RNAcentral. Lineage: Eukaryota; Fungi; Glomeromycota; Glomeromycetes; Glomerales; Glomeraceae.